UGUGGCAGAUUAGUGCAGUAAACUUAAGAUUUUCAAAUAAAUUAUUAUUUCUUUAGAA
This 58-nucleotide transfer RNA is filed under the name Scarelus umbrosus. Its description in RNAcentral is "tRNA-Leu". The record is from RNAcentral. Lineage: Eukaryota; Metazoa; Arthropoda; Insecta; Coleoptera; Lycidae.